GGACGCUUAGCUCAGCUGGGAGAGCAUCUGCCUUACAAGCAGAGGGUCAUAGGUUCGAGCCCUAUAGCGUCCACCA
RNAcentral lists this transfer RNA (76 nucleotides) under Mogibacterium timidum. Its description in RNAcentral is "tRNA-Val". It matches the Rfam family "tRNA". Rfam says of the family: Transfer RNA (tRNA) molecules are approximately 80 nucleotides in length. Their secondary structure includes four short double-helical elements and three loops (D, anti-codon, and T loops). Further hydrogen bonds mediate the characteristic L-shaped molecular structure. tRNAs have two regions of fundamental functional importance: the anti-codon, which is responsible for specific mRNA codon recognition, and the 3' end, to which the tRNAs corresponding amino acid is attached (by aminoacyl-tRNA synthetases). tRNAs cope with the degeneracy of the genetic code in two manners: having more than one tRNA (with a specific anti-codon) for a particular amino acid; and 'wobble' base-pairing, i.e. permitting non-standard base-pairing at the 3rd anti-codon position. RNAcentral also lists the same sequence under 13 other names. Lineage: Bacteria; Bacillati; Bacillota; Clostridia; Peptostreptococcales; Anaerovoracaceae. The record is from RNAcentral.